Non-coding RNA from Python bivittatus (Burmese python), 2205 nucleotides. The record is from RefSeq and is a predicted model, not a curated record. Lineage: Eukaryota; Metazoa; Chordata; Lepidosauria; Squamata; Pythonidae.
AGACUCAGAUAGUGACAAUCAGGAAGAUGGUCCCUCGGAGGCAGAUUUCUGGAAGGGUCCACCACAGGACGCAGAAGAAAAAACAAGGGAGGAAGAAUUUGAUGAGUACUUUAAAGACUUGUUUCUCUGAGAUGAGAUCUACAAAUCUGCAACUCACUUCUUCAUAUUCAUCAAAAUCUGUAAAUAAAAAGCAAGUUUUCACAUUUCAUUCAACAUAUUUUUUAAAAAUAUGUUUUCACUUGCAUAGGAGAUAGGAAUUAUCCCUGUGUAUCUCUUUCACAUCCAUCCAUAACUGUUAGUUUAAAUUAAAACUUUUGGGAGUAGUUUUUGUUUUUGUUUUAUAAUGCCAGUGUUUAAAAACUGUAAUGAGAUGUUAUUCAUAGUUUGGUAAGAUUCAGCAUUACCUGUGAUGAAAAGGUAGACAGUUUAGAGAAGCUGAUGUUAGCCAAAAAGACAAAGAAAAAAAAAAAGCCACACAGGAACAUUUGAGUUUUGCUUUAAUUCUGUUCAUUAAUCUGUAAGGAGGGGGAGAAAACAGUUCUAGGGUUAGAUGCAGAUCUUCCAAAAAGUCAGACUCAGUACAGCUACACUCAUGCAAGAUAAGGAAUCUUGAAGAAUCAAGACCAGGAGGCCCCAAACUGUUCAGCUCAUCGACCUCUUCACGAAGUCUCACAUUGUUCAUUGACCCCCAAACAUUUAUUACAUGAAAAUAAUUUAGUAAAUACUACUUUCACUAAUUGUACUAUGUAUAAUAACAACAACAAUAAUAGUAAUAAUAAUGGAUAGUCCCAUCAACCCUUGGUGGUCAAUAUUGACCACUUUGGGGAACCCUGACCUAGACUGCUGAGUAUCCUCAGUUGUCUAGUAAUGGUUUAUCCUGUCUCUGUAAAUACCUUUUUCUACCAGUAUCCACCAUAUUUGCAAUGCCAUUUUCCUUCUUUUCUUUCAAUCUUCUCCUCUGGUUUCUCAGCAGUUCUGCGUUGGGUACCAUUGUACUGGCAGUCAGCCACCUGAGUUUGCCAUUAAAGGGGGAUGGUUCAUAGUGCUGGGCAGCACUUCAGUCUUGAAGGCAAAAAGAUGCUUUCGUGGAAGGCGAGGGCAAUCGCAUAGUCCCUGUCUGCAGCUCCUUGACACAGCUGCAUCUUUCCUGAAAUCUUACAGCUGCUCUCUGCAUUGCAGCAUAAUCCAUGCAAAGUUGUGACUUCUGUGACUUCCAGAGGAGGUAUGGCGAACUGAAGACAUCUCUAGGAAAGCAGAGCUGAUGACUGCGGCAAAGACCAAAGGGUACUUUGCUUGUGCUAACACACAUUGUGAGGCCCCUCUUUCAAAUCCUUUGCACAGCCCCAGUGUUUGCAUCUUGAGCAAAGUAAGAUCAAGUUCUUUCAUUACAAUUGAAAUUGACAUAUGGCACAUCUGCAAACAUACCAUGGUACUCAAUGUGACUAUCACUUUUAAAACUAACAGUUGAAUAUGCUAUCUAAUCAGAUUCCUGAUGUUUUUUAAGUUAUUUGUUCAUGAACAUGCUUGUUUCAUAAUGCACAGCUUGGAUGAAUGUUCAAACAUCUCAGCGUAGAGAAAAACAGAGAUAAAGUUGGUGAAGGUACGUAAGAACUCAUAGCUGAUAAAUGAAGCAGUAAAUGACACUUUAGCCUUGGGAAGGGAGGGUGUGUGAGAAAUAGACUAAGAAUAACUUUGCUUUGAUUCUGUAUGAUGUAAGAAGGGGCAGAGAGAAACCCUGGCAGCCUGUUGACAUUCUGUUAUCAUAUCCUAUAGCAAUGAACUAGAGUCGCAGAGUUUGUUUCCUCACCCAGCUUCUCAAAGGACUGACACUCAAACAGCUACUUAAAAUAAAUGCAUUUUUCACAGAUCAUGUAUAUAGAAGUAAGGGUGAAACAAGGCUAAACAAGAGUGUCCUCAAAAGAAAGGUAGUCUUCUUUGAGGGCUUCUUUACAUAAGAAGAUGGAUUUAAAGAUUAAUUCUUUGUCAUGUUGCAAGAUGGCAGUCAAAUCCAAUAAGCGGCAGUCAGUUUACAUCUGUGUAGCUGGUCUCUCAUGAGCUUUAGAGGAGCUGUUUGCUAUAGUUGCUUUUCCAAGCCCUGUUAAACAUCUGUCUGUUUUGCAUGCCUAACUUUCUUGUAGAAUUUUGUAAUGUAGUUAUUGAAAUAAAUCCACACCUGGUGAUAUAAAGUACAUGAUGAAAAGCAAA